Molecule: unclassified non-coding RNA, 149 nt
Organism: Macaca fascicularis (crab-eating macaque)
Lineage: Eukaryota; Metazoa; Chordata; Mammalia; Primates; Cercopithecidae
Rfam family: Metazoan signal recognition particle RNA
About the family: The signal recognition particle (SRP) is a universally conserved ribonucleoprotein. It is involved in the co-translational targeting of proteins to membranes. The eukaryotic SRP consists of a 300-nucleotide 7S RNA and six proteins: SRPs 72, 68, 54, 19, 14, and 9.
Source: Ensembl
GCCGGGUGUGGUGGUGGGCACCUGUAAUCCCAGCUACCCAGGAGGCUGAGGCAGGAGAAUUGCUGGAACCCAGGGGGGCAGAGGCUGCAGUGAGCUGAGAUUGUGCCACUGCACUCCAGCCUGGGUGACAAAGCAAGACUCUGUCUCAA